UGAGUAACCUGCCCUAGGCUUUGGGAUAAACCCUCGGAAACGGGGGCUAAUACUGGAUAUUCCCGCGGGAUCGCAUGGUUUUGUGGGGAAAGGUUUUCCGGCUUGGGAUGGGCUCGCGGCCUAUCAGCUUGUUGGUGGGGUGAUGGCCUACCAAGGCGACGACGGGUAGCCGGCCUGAGAGGGCGACCGGCCACACUGGGACUGAGACACGGCCCAGACUCCUACGGGAGGCAG
This 234-nucleotide ribosomal RNA is filed under the name uncultured bacterium. Its description in RNAcentral is "partial 16S ribosomal RNA". It matches the Rfam family "Bacterial small subunit ribosomal RNA", at positions 118 to 351 of the family's 1533-position model. The record is from RNAcentral.